GGGGUGAGUAACACGUGGAUAACCUACCUAUAAGACUGGGAUAACUUCGGGAAACCGGAGCUAAUACCGGAUAAUAUAUUGAACCGCAUGGUUCAAUAGUGAAAGACGGUUUUGCUGUCACUUAUAGAUGGAUCCGCGCCGCAUUAGCUAGUUGGUAAGGUAACGGCUUACCAAGGCAACGAUGCGUAGCCGACCUGAGAGGGUGAUCGGCCACACUGGAACUGAGACACGGUCCAGACUCCUACGGGAGGCAGCAGUU
RNAcentral lists this ribosomal RNA (259 nucleotides) under uncultured Staphylococcus sp. RNAcentral describes it as "partial 16S ribosomal RNA". It matches the Rfam family "Bacterial small subunit ribosomal RNA", at positions 100 to 355 of the family's 1533-position model. Lineage: Bacteria; Bacillati; Bacillota; Bacilli; Caryophanales; Staphylococcaceae. The record is from RNAcentral.